Molecule: ribosomal RNA, 499 nt
Filed under: uncultured bacterium
Lineage: Bacteria
Description: partial 16S ribosomal RNA
Rfam family: Bacterial small subunit ribosomal RNA
Source: RNAcentral
AUUGAACGCUGGCGGCAUGCCUUACACAUGCAAGUCGAACGGUAACGGGUCCUUCGGGAUGCCGACGAGUGGCGAACGGGUGAGUAAUAUAUCGGAACGUGCCCAGUAGUGGGGGAUAACUGCUCGAAAGAGCAGCUAAUACCGCAUACGACCUGAGGGUGAAAGGGGGGAUCGCAAGACCUCUCGCUACUGGAGCGGCCGAUAUCAGAUUAGCUAGUUGGUGGGGUAAAGGCCUACCAAGGCAACGAUCUGUAGUUGGUCUGAGAGGACGACCAGCCACACUGGGACUGAGACGCGGCCCAGACUCCUACGGGAGGCAGCAGUGGUGAAUUUUGGACAAUGGGCGCAAGCCUGUUCCAGCAAUGCCGCGUGCAGGAAGAAGGCCUUCGGGUUGUAAACUGCUUUUGUACGGAACGAAAAGCCCUGGGUUAAUACCCUGGGGUCAUGACGGUACCGUAAGAAUAAGCACCGGCUAACUACGUGCCAGCCGCCGCCGUAA